RNAcentral lists this ribosomal RNA (253 nucleotides) under uncultured bacterium. Its description in RNAcentral is "partial 16S ribosomal RNA". It matches the Rfam family "Bacterial small subunit ribosomal RNA", at positions 524 to 776 of the family's 1533-position model. The record is from RNAcentral.
UACGGAGGGUGCAAGCGUUAAUCGGAAUUACUGGGCGUAAAGCGCACGCAGGUGGCUGAGUCAGUCGAUUGUGAAAGCCCUGGGCUUAACCUGGGAAUUGCAGUCGAUACUACUCAGCUAGAGUAUGGGAGAGGGUAGUGGAAUUCCCGGUGUAGCAGUGAAAUGCGUAGAUAUCAGAAAGAACACCAGUGGCGAAGGCGGCCCUCUGGUCCAUUAUUGACGCUAAAGCACGAAAGCGUGGGGAGCAAACAGG